RNAcentral lists this long non-coding RNA (658 nucleotides) under Gossypium raimondii (Peruvian cotton). RNAcentral's name for it is "long non-coding RNA (GRAI_LNC011179)". The record is from RNAcentral. Lineage: Eukaryota; Viridiplantae; Streptophyta; Magnoliopsida; Malvales; Malvaceae.
AGGCCAAUUAAUCAUCACCAACUCUAAGUCUAAUUAAGAAAUUCGAUUACUCAAUUUCACUUAGAUGAUUAUAAGAAAAUUCCUAAAUUAAAUAGCUGAUCAAUCUAAUCGAUUUAGAAAAAUUCCCUGAACGAUAAAACAAGCAAUUCAAGAAUGCCAAAUUCGAAUUUAAAACAAAAUAAAAUUUCAAAUUCCUUGUGCUAGGUUUCAUAAGUAUCUAACUAAGCAUAAGUAAUUUAGCCACUCAUAGCAAGUAAAACAAAACCAAAAUCAAUUGUAAACAACAUGAAUUACAAAUUGAAUCUUGGAAAGAAAAAAAAACUACCUCAAACCGUCGAGCUUCCCUUCUCUCAAUUAGCUGAAAUUUUGGGCUGCUACUCCAACUGCUUGAUUGGCUUUCGCUGGUUCAAUUAGAGAUUUUGCUUGCUCGAGUUCCACGCCCUUCUGCUCUGUUCUUCUCUGUUUUUUCGACUCUUUUUUUUUCAGCUGCUGGUCACCUCUAUUUAUGGAAUAAUAAUACAAUUCAAAACAAAAUUUGAUCUUAUCCCCUUGAUCCUAGCUGAACCCUUCGCAUAAAAAUAGCUCCAGCCUACUAGAGUUUUACUUUAAUUAAACUUCUCAAGGCUGAUUUGAUUCCCUUGAUUCGAUUAGAGUCGGC